This 730-nucleotide long non-coding RNA is filed under the name Ananas comosus (pineapple). RNAcentral's name for it is "long non-coding RNA (ACOM_LNC028102)". Lineage: Eukaryota; Viridiplantae; Streptophyta; Magnoliopsida; Poales; Bromeliaceae. The record is from RNAcentral.
GCCCAUUUGCAUAAAAAAUCUACUUAUUUUGGACUUUUGCAAAAUCGGACCACCUUUUUUAUUUUUACAGAUUCGGUCCGCCUUUUCGUCUGCCGGACCAAAAUGCCCCUCGUAUACAAAAGCCGCCUGCGUAUUUCUUGACAUACGUAUACUACCCUACCCUACGGUCUGGCGCGCAUUAAAUGCGCCGCUUCCGCCUUACGCAACCUCACUUAUUUAUCAGAACCCGGAUCACAUCCGCCGCCCUAUUCGUCGGCCCCGCUGUUUGCUGUUCGAUUUUACUAAUAAAAUUUCUGAAGCUAAAUGAAAAAAACUGCACGUCCCGCAACAAGGAUAAUAGUGCAACGCGAAGUAGCAACGCGAGGAAAAAUGGUGCAACUGCCCUUCUAACAGUGCAUCGCUAGGCUCGCUCCAGUGCAACCUCGCCAUAACCAGUCAAAAUUUUACUUUCUCUAUUUCUUAAUAUAAUCUGAACUUAAAAGUGCAAAUGAACGGCGUCCCCUCCAAAUGCAGGCGAAGCGUCGGCGGCGCAGGACGGUCGGCUGCGGGGUAGGACGGUCGGCGAUGUGCCACAUUAGAGUUGGCGUUCCGGGAAGCUCGGCGGCGGGGCUAGACGGUCGCCGGCGGGGUCCGGAGUGCGAGAGGCACGACAUAACGGCUAACAAUUGUGUAAAGUUUUCUCAUAAAAGAUCACGCAUUCUUUUAACUAUAUAAUAAGUGUAAGGCAGUG